Molecule: ribosomal RNA, 491 nt
Filed under: uncultured bacterium
Lineage: Bacteria
Description: bacterial SSU rRNA
Rfam family: Bacterial small subunit ribosomal RNA
Source: RNAcentral
GACGAACGCUGGCGGCGUGGAUUAGGCAUGCAAGUCGAACGGUAGAGUUCCUUCGGGAGCUUGAGAGUGGCGAACGGGUGAGUAACGCGUAGGUUAUCUACCCUCAAAUUGGGGACAACCCAGGGAAACUUGGGCUAAUACCGAAUGAGAGCAUCUGUAAUGGAUGUUUAAAAGAUGGCAGUAAUGCUGUUGUUUGAGGAUGAGCCUGCGUCCCAUUAGUUAGUUGGUAAGGUAAUGGCUUACCAAGGCGAUGAUAGGUAGGCGGCCUUAACGGGUGGUCGCCCACACUGGGAUUGAGAUACGGCCCAGACUCCUACGGGAGGCAGCAGUCGAGAAUAGUCUACAAUGGUCGAAAGACUGAUAGUGCGACGCCGCGUGAACGAAGAAGCCCUUCGGGGUGUAAAGUUCUUUUAUAUGUGAGCAAUGCCUUUUAUGUGAAUAGCAUGAGAGGAGCGAUAUUAGCAUAUGAAUAAGCAACGGCUAACUCCGUG